Molecule: ribosomal RNA, 305 nt
Filed under: uncultured bacterium
Lineage: Bacteria
Description: bacterial SSU rRNA
Rfam family: Bacterial small subunit ribosomal RNA
Source: RNAcentral
UGUCCUACGGGAGGCAGCAGUGGGGGAUAUUGCACAAUGGGGGGAACCCUGAUGCAGCGACGCCGCGUGGGUGAAGAAGCGCCCCGGCGCGUAAAGACCUGUCAGCAGGGAAGAAAAUGACGGUACCUGAAGAAGAAGCCCCGGCUAACUACGUGCCAGCAGCCGCGGUAAUACGUAGGGGGCAAGCGUUAUCCGGAUUUACUGGGUGUAAAGGGGGCGCAGACGGCGAUGCAAGCCAGGAGUGAAAGCCCGGGGCGCAACCCCAGGAAGGCUCUUGGAAAUGCGUGGCGGGAGUGCAGGAGGGG